Molecule: non-coding RNA, 2448 nt
Organism: Durio zibethinus
Lineage: Eukaryota; Viridiplantae; Streptophyta; Magnoliopsida; Malvales; Malvaceae
Source: RefSeq, a predicted model, not a curated record
AUCAAUUCCAUAAGUUAAUUCAACCGAAUUUUGAGCAGCCCUGUUCGCAUCUCCCCUCUCUCCCUUGCUCGCCUCCGGCGUCCCUCCCCCACUCUUCUCAAAUUUUUAACUCAGUCACAGUGUUUCUCGGUGGCUCCAGCGCCUCAAUUGGCGGUUUUCGUAGACAAUAACACUGGCGUUAUUUGCCAGGGCAUCACUGGAAAAAAAUGAAAGAGGUUGGUGGUGUCCUAAGUCUCCAAAGCCAAUUCAAGACCAUCCCUCAAUCCCUCAGGCUCCAGCUGCAAUGAAAAGAAUUGGGAAAUUAUGGAUGGAGUAUGAAGAAAUUGGGGAUUUAUCAAUUCAUUAAAACAUGUAAGAUGUAAAUUGACUUACUAAUACUCUCACUUGGUUCUUUUGGGCCUGUUGUGGUGUUAUCGCAUAUAGCUAAUUAAGAAGAACCCCGAACAGGUUUUGUUUGGGGUCAUAGUUAUAUGCUUGGUUUUAUUAGCUGGUUAAUGUAUCAUUGAGUUGUUACUAAGGUUGUUGAUGGGUAUUUCAAUUUUUAAUGGAGAGACUGGUCUAGCUCCCUAUGAGGUAAGUUUCUGUUCCAACUUGCAGUUGAUCCCUACUUAUUCAUUGCCUCACUAAAAUUUAGUAGGUACUGUAUUUUUAGUUAAAAUAUUAGAGAACUAUUAUGGCUUAAAACAGAAUACUUGUUUCAUUAUGCUUAAUUAAUUAGUCUCCGAUGAUGGUUAGAUGUUACCAUAAGCUCUUGCAAUUCCAUUUUGUUAUCUGCUGUAAUAUGAACAAAAAACUUGUAUAUAUGAUUUGUGAUCCUUUACACAUAUACAUGUUAUUUUAUUAGCCUCAUUCCAUGAAUAUUUGUGUGUUAAUAUUUUGAGUGAGUUUACUACAUGAUAGGAUAAUAUCUGUUCUGGAUUUAGUUAAUUAAUAUUUAUUUAGCUUACUGAAUUCAUUUUCUUAUGUAUUUGCCUUUUAAGAGAUUGAUCCUGCUUUGUUGAUCUUGUCCUUGUUUUUAACAAUAGCCUUAACUUUGACUCUGUUUUUAAAUUGAAAGUGGAAUCAUAAGAGAAAAUUACUAAGGGUUAACCAGACAGUGUUGUUGCAUAAGCAAAAUGGAGGAUCUUAAACAUUUGCAUAAGAGGAAUGAAACACUGUGUACUUGCAACUAUUUGAUUUAUACUUGCUUUGAAAGUUUUUUUUCCAUGUUUUUAUUGUAUUUUACAUUUCAAUUUUUUCUUGCUAUAGUGACUGUUAUCUUGUGUUAUAACUUUAAUUUAUUCAAUCAAUAUCUGUCACUGAUAGAUACUCCCAGUUAUGCUAGAUUUUGGUACUAACAAUCAAAUGCUACUUGAAGACCGGCUUUGUGAGUAAAAUAUGUACUCAGUUACCUUGUUCUUAAGAAGUUGCUACCUUUGCUGAGUGGACCUUAUAAUACACUUGCUGUGACUUUGUUUUGUGACAGGUUGUUAAAAUUUUUUUUGGCAUGUUCUUUUGGCUUGACAGAAAUAUGAUACGCUAUUGGAAAAGGUUUUGCAUGUUUAAUAAUGAUAUGCAGGUGAACUCUUGGUGCAACAACUUGCUACUUUUAUGGACUACAUUAGUGUCUAGUGUUGUGUUGAUUGCACUUAAAUCACUAUGAAUGCCACCAUUAUUAGAGAGUUGUGCUUAAUGUCUCUUAAGAAACUGCUCAAGUUGCACUUGCUGGAUUGUUAGGAACUGUAAGAGCACAAGGUCGAUCAUUGGCCGACUUUCCAAACCAACAGAUAGUUGUGGUGGGAGCUGGAAGACCCAGCCCAUGCUGAUUGCUCCGUACCUCAGGUGUUCUACUCUCCUCUAUUAUUUUGAAUGCAUCCUGCUUAGUAAGUGGUUUGCUAAGAUACAUUAUGUUUUGCAUGUUACAAGAGUAUAUAUGUCUUGUGGUGUGCAUCAGGGUAUGCACCUUAAAUCUUCAUUGAUUUUUCCAUACAUUUUUUGUAAUUUUUAAACAGCUUUUCUAAUUGUAUUUCACUAGUGGCAAGCUUAGUUCUUAUAAAAAAACUUAAUAUAAACCAAUGAAAGCUUUUUGAAUGAACAAACUUUAUUUCUUUGGCAUGUUGGCUUUAAAUAAUGAAUAUUCUAAACGGUAUUCUCUUUCUUCUCUCCUUUUUGUAAUGGACGUUGUUAUUACAUAGUGAAACGGUUUUAUCCUUUUUCUAAGAGUUGGAAACAGAAAAGGUUCUAAUACAUUUGAAGUACAUAGAACAAGUACGUCUCCUUUAUUUUUCAUUUUGGAGCAUUCAUUACAAGAAAAUGGCAUAUUAGCGACAGUUUUGUAACGGCUAUUUACUUACAAAUGCCGUUAGCUUCCGUGUUUUUAUAAAACUUAAGGCAUUUAUUAUCAAAACACCGCUAAAUAUUCAAAUAGUGGCGUUAUAAAUGCCACCCAAGACUUGAUAUCAGUGACGU